This 45-nucleotide non-coding RNA is filed under the name Schistosoma mansoni. The record is from RNAcentral. Lineage: Eukaryota; Metazoa; Platyhelminthes; Trematoda; Strigeidida; Schistosomatidae.
GUCCAGCCGACGAGUCUAAAAUAGGACAAAACGCACCUCCUGGAU